Molecule: ribosomal RNA, 442 nt
Filed under: uncultured Chloroflexota bacterium
Lineage: Bacteria; Bacillati; Chloroflexota
Description: uncultured Chloroflexi bacterium partial 16S ribosomal RNA
Rfam family: Bacterial small subunit ribosomal RNA
Source: RNAcentral
CCUACGGGUGACUGCAGCAGCAGGGAAUUUUGCGCAAUGGGCGAAAGCCUGACGCAGCAACGCCGCGUGGGGGAUGAAGGCCUUCGGGUUGUAAACCCCUUUUGCCGGGGAAGAUCGUGACGGUACCCGGCGAAUAAGUCACGGCUAACUACGUGCCAGCAGCCGCGGUAAUACGUAGGUGGCGAGCGUUGUCCGGAUUUAUUGGGCGUAAAGCGCACGCAGGCGGUUCGUCAAGUCUCUGGUGAAAUCUCCCGGCCCAACUGGGAGGGGUCCGGAGAUACUGGCGGACUAGAGGGGACCAGAGGAGAGUGAAAUUCCCGGUGUAGGGGUAAAAUGCGUAGAUAUCGGGAGGAACACCAGUGGCGAAGGCGGCUCUCGGGGGUCAACCUGACGCUGAGGGGCGAAAGCUGGGGGAGCAAACGGGAUUAGAUACCCUAGUAUU